This 866-nucleotide ribosomal RNA is filed under the name bacterium. Its description in RNAcentral is "bacterial SSU rRNA". It matches the Rfam family "Bacterial small subunit ribosomal RNA", at positions 56 to 904 of the family's 1533-position model. The record is from RNAcentral.
UGCAGUCGAGCGGACCGACGGGAGCUUGCUCCCUUAGGUCAGCGGCGGACGGGUGAGUAACACGUGGGUAACCUGCCUGUAAGACUGGGAUAACUCCGGGAAACCGGGGCUAAUACCGGAUGCUUGAUUGAACCGCAUGGUUCAAUCAUAAAAGGGGGCUUUUAGCUACCACUUACAGAUGGACCCGCGGCGCAAUAACUAGUUGGUGAGGUAACGGCUCACCAAGGCGACGAAGCGUAACCCAACUGAGAAGGUGAUCGGCCACACUGGGACUGAAACACGGCCCAAACUCCUACGGGAGGCAGCAGUAGGGAAUCUUCCGCAAUGGACGAAAGUCUGACGGAACAACGCCCCGUGAGUGAUGAAGGUUUUCGGAACGUAAAACUCUGUUGUUAGGGAAGAACAAGUACCGUUCGAAUAGGGCGGUACCUUGACGGUACCUAACCAAGAAGCCACGGCUAACUACGUGCCAGCAGCCGCGGUAAUACGUAAGUGGCAAGCGUUGUCCGGAAUUAUUGGGCGUAAAGCGCGCGCAAGCGGUUUCUUAAGUCUGAUGUGAAAGCCCCCGGCUCAACCGGGGAAGGUCAUUGGAAACUGGGGAACUUGAGUGCAGAAGAAGAAAAUGGAAUUCCACGUGUAGCGGUGAAAUGCGUAAAGAUGUGGAAGAACACCAGUGGCGAAAGCGACUCUCUGGUCUGUAACUGACGCUGAAGCGCGAAAGCGUGGGGAACGAACAGGAAUAGAUACCCUGGUAGUCCACGCCGUAAACGAUGAAUGCUAAGUGUUAGAAGGUUUCCGCCCUUUAGUGCUGCACCAACGCAUUAAGCACUCCGCCUGGGGAGUACGGUCGCAAGACUGAAACUCAA